UUUUUUUUUCCUCCUU
Molecule: small RNA, 16 nt
Filed under: Arabidopsis thaliana (thale cress)
Lineage: Eukaryota; Viridiplantae; Streptophyta; Magnoliopsida; Brassicales; Brassicaceae
Description: ATSL105290
Source: RNAcentral